This 725-nucleotide ribosomal RNA is filed under the name Craniella cranium. RNAcentral describes it as "eukaryotic LSU rRNA". It matches the Rfam family "Eukaryotic large subunit ribosomal RNA", at positions 56 to 538 of the family's 3401-position model. Lineage: Eukaryota; Metazoa; Porifera; Demospongiae; Tetractinellida; Tetillidae. The record is from RNAcentral.
GAAGAGCAACUAACGAGGAUUCCCCCAGUAACGGCGAGCGAAGCGGGAAGAGUUCGAGCAGGCAAUCUCUGGCGCUCCGUCGCCAGCGAAUUGUGGCCGGUCGAGGCGACUGCACCCGAGGCGCCACCGCCCAAGUUGGCCUGGAAAGGCACGUCGGAGAGGGUGAUAGCCCCGUGCGUGGCGGGGGCGUCCGAGGGCCGCUACCGUCUUCCGAGAGUCGGGUUGUUUGAGAUUGCAGCCCAAAGUGGGUGGUAAACUCCAUCUAAAGCCGAACAAGGGCACGAGACCGAUAGCGAACAAGUACCGUGAGGGAAAGGUGAAAAGCACUUUGGAAAGAGAGUUAAAGAGACCGCGAAACCGUUAGGAGGGAAACGCAUGCAGCCGAACGGGCCCUCGUCGGGUUCAGGGGUCGGCGUGGCGCCGUCCGUCGCGUGCCGGGCACUCUCGCGAGGCCCGCCGCGCGGUCGAUCGCCUCGCACCCCCGCACUCCCGACGGUCGUGGGCCGGCCAAGCGCGGUGGCGUGACGGCGCAGAGGAGGGCCGACGGGCAGGUAGUGCAGCCGGUCGUCGGUUUCGGCCGUAGGCGAACUUACAGCCGUCGGUCCGGCCUGCGCCGCUCCACCGAGGAGAGCGGUGGCCCGUUUCCACCCCAGCAGCACGGGCCUCCCUCGGCCGAGGGAGGCCGGAGCGCUUCUGUUCGUUCGGCCUCCGCGCCGCGAGACUGC